GAGUUUGAUCAUGGCUCAGAUUGAACGCUGGCGGCAGGCUUAACACAUGCAAGUCGAACGGUAGCAGGAGAAAGCUUGCUUUCUUGCUGACGAGUGGCGGACGGGUGAGUAAUGCUUGGGAAUCUAGCUUAUGGAGGGGGAUAGCCAUUGGAAACGAUGGCUAAUACCGCGUAAUAUCGGGAGAUUAAAGACUGGGACCGCAAGGCCAGUUGCCAUAAGAUGAGCCCAAGUGGGAUUAGGUAGUUGGUGGGGUAAAGGCCUACCAAGCCUUCGAUCUCUAGCUGGUCUGAGAGGAUGACCAGCCACACUGGAACUGAGACACGGUCCAGACUCCUACGGGAGGCAGCAGUGGGGAAUAUUGCGCAAUGGGGGCAACCCUGACGCAGCCAUGCCGCGUGAAUGAAGAAGGCCUUCGGGUUGUAAAGUUCUUUCGGUGAUGAGGAAGGGAGUUAUGUUAAUAGCAUAAUUCAUGA
Molecule: ribosomal RNA, 473 nt
Filed under: Pasteurellaceae bacterium canine oral taxon 272
Lineage: Bacteria; Pseudomonadati; Pseudomonadota; Gammaproteobacteria; Pasteurellales; Pasteurellaceae
Description: bacterial SSU rRNA
Rfam family: Bacterial small subunit ribosomal RNA
Source: RNAcentral